CCUAUCGCUACAGCCCUACAGCUAUCGCCUGCAUCUGCGUACACUUCACUCCUUCCUUCCCUCCCUUUCCGUGUCCGCAUUACUAUCAUCAUGGUGCGCACGCGGGAGAAGAAGCCCAAGGGUGACAGCGCCUUCACGACGCGCAGGCAGAAGGUCGGGCGCAAGAAGCUCGCCCCUGCCACCGCCACACGGGCAGAGGUGCACGCCCGCACCCUUCGUCUCACCACGUCUACCGCGAUGUCUGCUGCCAUGGCAGCGCCGUACGUGAAGGACCCGGCGGCGCACCCUGCGUCGUCUGAGACGACCUCCGCGGGCAUGAAGGACAGCGAGUCCAAGAGCAAGCGCCUCAUCAUCGCUGUGCAGAGCUUCUCUGAGCUGCUCUCCGCGACACAUCACUACAAGGCAGCGCAGCGCUCCUCGGCCUUCGCGACACUCACGCGUCUGCUGCGCAUUCAGAGGGAAAAGGAUAACGCCGCUGGGGCGGGGGCGGCGCGACACAGCGGGGGCGCCGCGUCAAACGUUUUCGAAGAGUACAUGCGGUACUCCGCGAGCACGAAUGCCACCGCAGACGCUGCGGGGGUGCCGUUCUCCUCAGGCGCCCCUCCUACAUGUCUCAGUAGCCUGAGUCCACUUGAGAGGCUCAAGUCGUUCGCUGCCGCACUGGAGGCCGUCACAGACACGGACGACGAUGUUCGUCGUGAGGCGCUGCAGGCACUGCAAGUUCUUGUGGACUACCAGUGGAUUUCAUGUGAGCGAGAUGGGUCUGUUGCGCCAACGCCCUCGUCGUUUCUGGAACCGACCUCUACGCGCAAGGCUGCGGAUCUCGAGCGCUGCAACGCCCGGCUCCUGAGCAUGCAGGACGGAGAUGGCGGCCGGAGCGGCAGCGCCGAGGUGCCAGUAGCCAUCUCGGCGUCCACCUCGACAUCGAGCACCUCGGUGGAUCGCGUCCAGACGAUUCUUCAAGCGGUGCACGUGGCUCUCACCCACGCCCUCAAGCCUGUUCGUCUCUCAGGCGUCGAACUGCUCUCCCUACUCCUGCGGGUGGCGCCGCCGUCUCUGGUGCGCGCCGCCGCGCGUGCGGUCUGUAAGCAUCAGACCUCCUACUACGCCACACCGGCUGCAACGGCAACCUCGGCAGCUGGCACGGCCACCACAGCAGCGCUGGAGGCGGCCCAGGAACGUGCCGCCACACUACUCGAGGAGGAAGAGGUGUGGAUGCUGACGCUGGUGCGGCGCGUCUCUUCGCUGGUCUUGCGAACGAAGCACGUGCCGGUGCUGCCGGCGCUGCUAGGCGUCUUCCUCGGCGAGAGUGGCUUUGGUGCUUCCGGCGCCACAGCCGAGGAUUCUAUCACCGCUGAGCUGCUGCGCACGCCCCCUUUGCUCGGUGGCGUCGUUGCAUCACACGUCAUGAGCGCCUCCGGCGCGAGCGACGCUGUCGAUGGCAGCAGUGGCGGCGCUCUCUGGCGCUACCCGGAACUCGUGAACUCGUUCUUCGACGACGUGGCACCGCAGUGGGCGAACAACUGGAAGGAGCUGAUGGAGCUGCGACUGGCGCUCUUGCGGCAAGACGACAAACUCGCCAUGGCCUCAGCCCUUGCCCGAUCGUUCGCCAUCGUUCUUGUUUUCUUGAAGCGCCAACAGCAGCAGGGCCUCAGCAGCAGGGCCGGGCGCAGCGGCUCCGUGAACUUCUUCUCACGGAAGCGCAUGCACUACAUCAAAGCCCUCUUCAUCGAGAAGAUGCCGGUAACGAUGCACGAGCUGCUGCUCAUGCCUUCUGCUGGUGCAUCCGUCGCGUCCUCCACAACAGCGCCAACAGCGGCGGCGACGGCGCCACCGAAAGCAAUGAAGGCGCGCCUGGAGCUGGGGCUGGCCCUCGUCAUGGUCUGCGUCCCUCUCGCUGGCACCGAGGAGGGAUGGCACCUCAUGCGGGACUACUUCUCCAUCGUCUUUUCGCUUCCCCGAGCUACCCCGCCGCCACCGGAGCCCUUCCGCUUCCCGUCCGUGGCGUUACUGGAGAUGUCGGUGCGUCUGUUUGCGCAGGCGAUCCGGCUCUACCCCUGCGUUGCGCCGCAGUUCCAGGUAGCCGGUGACACCGCGGCGGUACCGCCUGGUCGGAACACGGGGUUGGGCGACUUCUCUGUGCCCUUAGUAUCGUGCUCUGACGCGAAAUGCGAUGGUCCCCGCAGAGCGAAAAGAGACAGAGGUGACGCUGCUGGUCCUGCAGUGUCGUCGCAGGCCACCCCUUCCUUUCACCAGCACAGCACCGUGGCUGAGCGUCUGCUCACCUUCCUGCCCGCCGUGCUGACCACCAUCAUCAAGCACUUGGUGCCGCGCUCGGACUCCCUCAACUCCGGCGCCGGUGAUGCGGCAAGCGACGAUAUGGCUCUCGUGCGGGUGCUCCUCUGCGCAGCCACGAUAUUGGAGCGGUUCGCGGCACUUCCCGAGGACCUUUUCCGUCGCGGUGGUGCUGUUCGCAGGAAGGGGCACGGCGGUAAGACCGACGGCGGUUGUGGCGACGCAGCCACAACCGCGCAGCGACUGGAAGAGGGCUUUGGCUUGGUGCCACGCCUUCUGUUCGCCCUUCGAGAACAGUCGCAGAUGCGGCAGCGCAAGCCCGAUGCAGUGAAGCGCGCACGUGCAGAGGAUGAGGACGACGGAGACAACCACGUCGGCGACGCACCCGCGCAGACGGACGACAGCGCAGCGACGCCCGUAGUGACGCGCACCGGCGUCCUCCUGUCGUACAACGGGAUUGUCGAUGUGCUGGUGCACCGCUUCUUGCGGGUGCUCUGGUUCUUGAGCAGCAGUGGUCAUCCUCUUCUUCAUGACCGCCGCACCACCUCCACAGGCAAGGCUGCUUCCUCUCCCGCAUCGACAUCCGUGUCGCCCUCCGCACCCCUCGCUGCCCUCCUCACCAAGUCGAUCAAGUUUCUCUUCGGUAGCGCCGGCGUAUCCGGUGUGCUGCAGCGGUGCACGACCCCGACAGUGCUACUGGCGCACAGCACGCUCUUCUACCUCGGCGGCGGCGGCGGUAGUGCAUCGAGCCCGAUCGCGUUGGUAGGCAGCGCCGAUGCAGUUAGCGUGGCCGCGGCAGAGACGGAGAGGACACCGAUGGCUGAGGCGGUGGAGAGGUGGGCCGAUGUGCUCGGCGUGAUAGGGGCACUCCGCGCCCGCGUGCACAUGGAUGCGUGAUACGGCGUCCCAUGAAGCCGGAAAGGAAGACUGGUUAACGUCCUCGUCGCCAAGGUUAUAGGCGUGUCGCUCACGUGCACCGCUGCCCCGCCAACAGCCCUCCCCUCUCCCCCUCUCCAGUUGUUGUUUAACUUUCCCGAAUCGCUAAGGAAACCAUAAGAGUCGUUCAUUUCUCUGUGUACGUGUGUGCCUCAUCCCUCGACGUCUACCCCGCUCCCUCCUCUCGCUUCUUUCCCUAC
Molecule: unclassified non-coding RNA, 3431 nt
Filed under: Leishmania donovani
Lineage: Eukaryota; Euglenozoa; Kinetoplastea; Trypanosomatida; Trypanosomatidae
Description: gene:LdHU3.15.0900(CDS-product:Rix1_complex_compo nent_involved_in_60S_ribosome_maturation_putative)
Source: RNAcentral